GAUGAACGCUGGCGGCGUGCCUAAUACAUGCAAGUCGAGCGAACAGACGAGGAGCUUGCUCCUCUGACGUUAGCGGCGGACGGGUGAGUAACACGUGGAUAACCUACCUAUAAGACUGGGAUAACUUCGGGAAACCGGAGCUAAUACCGGAUAACAUGUUGAACCGCAUGGUUCAACAGUGAAAGACGGUCUUGCUGUCACUUAUAGAUGGAUCCGCGCCGCAUUAGCUAGUUGGUAAGGUAACGGCUUACCAAGGCAACGAUGCGUAGCCGACCUGAGAGGGUGAUCGGCCACACUGGAACUGAGACACGGUCCAGACUCCUACGGGAGGCAGCAGUAGGGAAUCUUCCGCAAUGGGCAAAAGCCUGACGGAGCAACGCCGCGUGAGUGAAGAAGGUCUUCGGAUCGUAAAACUCUGUUAUUAGGGAAGAACAAAUGUGUAAGUAACUAUGCACGUCUUGACGGUACCUAAUCAGAAAGCCACGGCUAACUACGUG
RNAcentral lists this ribosomal RNA (497 nucleotides) under uncultured bacterium. RNAcentral's name for it is "partial 16S ribosomal RNA". It matches the Rfam family "Bacterial small subunit ribosomal RNA", at positions 28 to 507 of the family's 1533-position model. The record is from RNAcentral.